AUUUGAACCAAAAAAGUAGGGUCUUUUUCAAUAUUGCUUGGUCUAUAUAUCACCUUAUGUUGGUGUUGUAUACAAAGAUUUCAUUCAGUAGGCUUCUAAGAUUUCAAAUCCAUUUGAAAGAAAUUGACAGUCACUAACUUAUGAGGGGCUAAUACCUAAAAGUUGUAAUGAAAUGAUACUAAGUUGUGAGCUUAAGCCAGAAAUGGAAAACAUUCUCUAGCAUGUGGGACAAAGAGGUGUUAGUGUCUGCGGGUGAGUGUACUUGUGUGUGAGUGCCUGUGUUUGUAUCUUGUCGUUGCUGGGUGAAUUCUGGGACGGGAGGGCGAGGUGCAAGCAGGCAGUGUAUGGAUGUAUGAUUGUGUUGGAAUAAUCAACUUUAGCAUUUAUGGAGGUCACUUUGGAUGUCAGUGGUAUUCAUGUUUCACGGAUGAUGCAAUUUACUCCAAGGAAAUAGCUCCUUCAAGAACCUUCUGCAUUUAUGAAGAGGUUUAUAUACAAUUUCUUCUAGUUAUAAUGUAUUUUUGGCUUUACUACUUUAAUUAUGUUAAUCUCAAAUGUUGUUAUAAGAUAAAAGUUUUAAUCUGUAACCUAUAACACAUUGAUAAGUUCAAGAUAAAGGCAGUUGGUGCUACUAAUAGGCUUGGAUAAAUUGAGGCUCCUCGAGUGGAAGAACGGGCUCAUGGCUAUUCAGGAUAGAGUUGUAAACUGCCACUUCAAAGCUGGAUACAUUUAGGCUACCUUUGAGCCAUCACUUGGACAUAAAAUAUGCUGCCACCUCCACCAUGCCCCUAUCUUCCAUUGAAAUACAGUUUUGGAUGUAGAGGUCGAAAUGAUGCACAAAGCUGGUCUCAUUCAAGGGGGAUCACUGGAAAAUGCAAUGGUUUGCAGAGCAGCGGUGAUUCUGGUGCUAAUGUGAAGCGCCUUGAACAAGAAACUGAGAGCAAAAUCCUCCAGCUGAAGGAACAAUCAUCAC
This is a long non-coding RNA of Asparagus officinalis (garden asparagus), 973 nucleotides long. RefSeq lists it as uncharacterized. The transcript has 3 exons. The record is from RefSeq and is a predicted model, not a curated record. NCBI's taxonomy places the organism in Eukaryota, Viridiplantae, Streptophyta, Magnoliopsida, Asparagales, Asparagaceae.